GAACGCACAUUGCGCCCCUUGGUAUUCCGGGGGGCAUGCCUGUUCGAGCGUCAUCUCAACCCUCAAGCAAUGCUCUUGGUAUUGAGCCCAUGUCAGCGAUGGCAGGCUCCAAAAACAGUGGCGGCGCCGCUGGGUCCUGAACGCAGUAAGAAUACCUCUCGUUCCAGGUGCCCCGCGUGCUGCUGCCAAAAGGAAUCUCUAAGUUUGACCUCGGAUCAGGUAGGGAUACCCGCUGAACUUAAG
This 243-nucleotide unclassified non-coding RNA is filed under the name Ciboria betulae. RNAcentral describes it as "sequence contains 5.8S rRNA gene". The stretch from base 1 to 53 matches the Rfam family "5.8S ribosomal RNA", at positions 102 to 154 of the family's 154-position model. The record is from RNAcentral. Lineage: Eukaryota; Fungi; Ascomycota; Leotiomycetes; Helotiales; Sclerotiniaceae.